This 351-nucleotide ribosomal RNA is filed under the name uncultured bacterium. Its description in RNAcentral is "partial 16S ribosomal RNA". It matches the Rfam family "Bacterial small subunit ribosomal RNA", at positions 338 to 703 of the family's 1533-position model. The record is from RNAcentral.
CCUACGGGAGGCAGCAGUGGGGAAUAUUGGGCAAUGGGCGCAAGCCUGACCCAGCAACGCCGCGUGAAGGAAGAAGGCCCUCGGGUUGUAAACUUCUUUUGGCAGGGACGAAGAAAGUGACGGUACCGGACGAAUAAGCAACGGCUAACUACGGGCCAGCAGCCGCGGUAAUACGUAGGGGGCAAGCGUUAUCCGGAUUUACUGGGUGUAAAGGGCGUGUAGGUGGGACUGCAAGUCAGAUGGGAAAUUCCAGGGCUCACCCCUGGAACUUCAUUUGAAACGGUCGUUCUUGAGUGAUGGCGAGGCAGGCGGAAUUCCUUGUGUAGCGGUGACAUGCGUAGAUAUACGGAG